GACAAGCAAAAGUUCAAGUUUGGGGGUGUGUUAAGUGUAUAUUUUUACACUUUAUCAUAUCUUUUUAUUUGAGCUUUUGGUGUGUUUUAACGAUAAUUGGUGCUUAAAAAGUUGAUUUAUUAUAUUUUAGGUACAAAUUGAAGAAUUGGAAAAGUAUGGGGUCAAAACUGCAAUUUUGGCGAAAAUAUGGGUCAAAAGUGAAAAUAUCAAAAUUCUGAAGA
This 221-nucleotide long non-coding RNA is filed under the name Erythranthe guttata (spotted monkey flower). RNAcentral describes it as "long non-coding RNA (EGUT_LNC001071)". The record is from RNAcentral. Lineage: Eukaryota; Viridiplantae; Streptophyta; Magnoliopsida; Lamiales; Phrymaceae.